RNAcentral lists this ribosomal RNA (545 nucleotides) under Epichloe festucae var. lolii. Its description in RNAcentral is "partial large subunit ribosomal RNA". It matches the Rfam family "Eukaryotic large subunit ribosomal RNA", at positions 47 to 600 of the family's 3401-position model. The record is from RNAcentral. Lineage: Eukaryota; Fungi; Ascomycota; Sordariomycetes; Hypocreales; Clavicipitaceae.
UAAGCGGAGGAAAAGAAACCAACAGGGAUUGCCCCAGUAACGGCGAGUGAAGCGGCAACAGCUCAAAUUUGAAAUCUGGCCCCCCGGGGCCCGAGUUGUAAUUUGCAGAGGAUGCUUUUGGCGAGGCGCCUUCCGAGUUCCCUGGAACGGGACGCCACAGAGGGUGAGAGCCCCGUCUGGUUGGAUGCCGAGCCUCUGUAAAGCUCCUUCGACGAGUCGAGUAGUUUGGGAAUGCUGCUCUAAAUGGGAGGUAUAUGUCUUCUAAAGCUAAAUAUUGGCCAGAGACCGAUAGCGCACAAGUAGAGUGAUCGAAAGAUGAAAAGCACUUUGAAAAGAGGGUUAAAUAGUACGUGAAAUUGUUGAAAGGGAAGCGCUCAUGACCAGACUUGGGCCCGGUGAAUCAUCCAGCGUUCUCGCUGGUGCACUUUGCCGGGCUCAGGCCAGCAUCAGUUCGCCCCGGGGGAGAAAGGCUCUGGGAAUGUGGCUCCCCCGGGAGUGUUAUAGCCCUCCUGCGCAAUGCCCUGGGGCGGACUGAGGUCCGCGCG